This 302-nucleotide ribosomal RNA is filed under the name uncultured bacterium. RNAcentral describes it as "partial 16S ribosomal RNA". It matches the Rfam family "Bacterial small subunit ribosomal RNA", at positions 508 to 807 of the family's 1533-position model. The record is from RNAcentral.
GCAGUCGCCGCGGGAAUACGGAGGAUCCAAGCGUUAUCCGGAAUCAUUGGGUUUAAAGGGUCCGUAGGCGGUCUUGUAAGUCAGUGGUGAAAGCCCAUCGCUCAACGGUGGAACGGCCAUUGAUACUGCAGGACUUGAAUUAUUGGGAAGUAACUAGAAUAUGUAGUGUAGCGGUGAAAUGCUUAGAGAUUACAUGGAAUACCAAUUGCGAAGGCAGGUUACUACCAAUUGAUUGACGCUGAUGGACGAAAGCGUGGGUAGCGAACAGGAUUAGAUACCCCCGUAGUCCCUGUCUCUUAUAC